Molecule: RNA transcript, 388 nt
Organism: Cebus imitator (Panamanian white-faced capuchin)
Lineage: Eukaryota; Metazoa; Chordata; Mammalia; Primates; Cebidae
Gene name: immunoglobulin heavy variable 1-8-like
Exons: 2
Source: RefSeq, a predicted model, not a curated record
AUGGACUGGACAUGGAGGAUUCUCUUCUUGGUGGCAGCAGCAACAGGGAAGAGGCUCCACAGUGCCCACUCCAAGGUGCAGUUGGUGCAGUCUGGGGCUGAGGUGAAGGAGCCUGGGUCCUCAGUGAAAGUCUCCUGCAAAGCUUCUGGAUACCUUUACCAGCUACUAUAUGAACUGGGUGCCACAGGCCCCUGGACAAGGGCUUGAGUGGAUGGGACGGAUCAACCCUGGUAAAGGUAACACAGGCUACACACAGAAGUUUCAGGGCAGAGUCACCAUGACCAGGGACACGUCCACAAGCACAUCCUACAUGGAGCUGAGCAGUCUGAGACCUGAGGACACGGCCGUGUAUUACUGUGGGAGACACAGUGUGAAAACCACAUCCUGA